GCCGGUAGAGGCGCGUCUUUCAUCAGUAGCCGGAAAGAGACUGCCAGAGUCGUUGAAAAGCCGUGUGAAAGGGACAGACGCCGAAGGGGACGCCUGGCGGCCGUUCCCUGGGCGCAUCGCCGAAAGGCAUGCGACUGUCAUCAUUGAACUGUGAUGGAGAGCUAUGG
Molecule: non-coding RNA, 167 nt
Filed under: Anaerotruncus massiliensis (ex Togo et al. 2026)
Lineage: Bacteria; Bacillati; Bacillota; Clostridia; Eubacteriales; Oscillospiraceae
Description: Lysine riboswitch
Rfam family: Lysine riboswitch aptamer
About the family: Riboswitches are metabolite binding domains within certain messenger RNAs that serve as precision sensors for their corresponding targets. Allosteric rearrangement of mRNA structure is mediated by ligand binding, and this results in modulation of gene expression. This family includes riboswitches that sense lysine in a number of genes involved in lysine metabolism, including lysC.
Source: RNAcentral